AACGAACGCUGGCGGCAGGCCUAACACAUGCAAGUCGAACGCCCUAGCAAUAGGGAGUGGCGCACGGGUGCGUAACGCGUGGGAAUAUGCCCUUGACUGCGGAACAACGUCGGGAAACUGACGCUAAUACCGCAUAAUGUCUUCGGACCAAAGAUUUAUCGGUCAAGGAUUAGCCCGCGUCUGAUUAGCUAGUUGGUGAGGUAACGGCUCACCAAGGCGACGAUCAGUAGGGGGUCUGAGAGGAUGAUCCCCCACACUGGGACUGAGACACGGCCCAGACUCCUACGGGAGGCAGCAGUGAGGAAUAUUGGACAAUGGGCGCAAGCCUGAUCCAGCCAUGCCGCGUGAGUGACGAAGGCCUUAGGGUUGUAAAGCUCUUUUACCCGGGAUGAUAAUGACAGUACCGGGAGAAUAAGCCCCGGCUAACUCCGUGCCAGCCGCCGCAGUAA
RNAcentral lists this ribosomal RNA (449 nucleotides) under uncultured bacterium. RNAcentral describes it as "partial 16S ribosomal RNA". It matches the Rfam family "Bacterial small subunit ribosomal RNA", at positions 29 to 523 of the family's 1533-position model. The record is from RNAcentral.